This 497-nucleotide ribosomal RNA is filed under the name uncultured bacterium. RNAcentral describes it as "partial 16S ribosomal RNA". It matches the Rfam family "Bacterial small subunit ribosomal RNA", at positions 28 to 507 of the family's 1533-position model. The record is from RNAcentral.
GAUGAACGCUGGCGGCGUGCCUAAUACAUGCAAGUCGAGCGAACAGACGAGGAGCUUGCUUCUCUGAUGUUAGCGGCGGACGGGUGAGUAACACGUGGAUAACCUACCUAUAAGACUGGGAUAACUUCGGGAAACCGGAGCUAAUACCGGAUAAUAUUUUGAACCGCAUGGUUCAAUAGUGAAAGACGGUCUUGCUGUCACUUAUAGAUGGAUCCGCGCUGCAUUAGCUAGUUGGUAAGGUAACGGCUUACCAAGGCAACGAUGCGUAGCCGACCUGAGAGGGUGAUCGGACACACUGGAACUGAGACACGGUACAGACUCCUACGGGAGGCAGCAGUAGGGAAUCUUCCGCAAUGGGCGAAAGCCUGACGGAGCAACGCCGCGUGAGUGAUGAAGGUCUUCGGAUCGUAAAACUCUGUUAAUAGGGAAGAACAAAUGUGUAAGUAACUAUGCACGUCUUGACGGUACCUAAUCAGAAAGCCACGGCUAACUACGUG